This 362-nucleotide ribosomal RNA is filed under the name uncultured organism. Its description in RNAcentral is "bacterial SSU rRNA". It matches the Rfam family "Bacterial small subunit ribosomal RNA", at positions 123 to 516 of the family's 1533-position model. The record is from RNAcentral.
AACCUGCCCUUGGGAGGGGAACAACAGCUGGAAACGGCUGCUAAUACCCCAUAGGCUGAGGAGCAAAAGGAGGAAUCCGCCCAAGGAGGGGCUCGCGUCUGAUUAGUUAGUUGGUGAGGCAAUGGCUUACCAAGGCGACGAUCAGUAGCUGGUCCGAGAGGAUGAUCAGCCACACUGGGACUGAGACACGGCCCAGACUCCUACGGGAGGCAGCAGUGGGGAAUUUUCCGCAAUGGGCGAAAGCCUGACGGAGCAAUGCCGCGUGAAGGCAGAAGGCCCCCGGGUCAUGAACUUCUUUUCUCGGAGAAGAAAAAAUGACGGUAUCUGACGAAUAAGCAUCGGCUAACUCUGUGCCAGCAGCC